GAUGAACGCUGGCGGCGUGCCUAACACAUGCAAGUCGAACGGAGAUUUAUCGCUGAUGAGACUUCGGCCAAAUCUUGAGAAAUCUUAGUGGCGGACGGGUGAGUAACGCGUGGGCAACCUGCCUCAUACUGGGGGAUAGCAGUUGGAAACGACUGAUAAUACCGCAUAAGCGCACGAGAUCGCAUGAUCUAGUGUGAAAAACUCCGGUGGUAUGAGAUGGGCCCGCGUCAGAUUAGCUAGUUGGUAAGGUAACGGCUUACCAAGGCGACGAUCUGUAGCCGGACUGAGAGGUCGGACGGCCACAUUGGGACUGAGACACGGCCCAAACUCCUACGGGAGGCAGCAGUGGGGGAUAUUGCACAAUGGAGGAAACUCUGAUGCAGCGACGCCGCGUGAGUGAAGAAGUAUUUCGGUAUGUAAAGCUCUAUCAGCAGGGAAGAAAGGCUCGCAAGAGAGAUGACAGU
RNAcentral lists this ribosomal RNA (464 nucleotides) under bacterium WCE3002. Its description in RNAcentral is "bacterial SSU rRNA". It matches the Rfam family "Bacterial small subunit ribosomal RNA", at positions 28 to 476 of the family's 1533-position model. The record is from RNAcentral.